Molecule: long non-coding RNA, 2586 nt
Organism: Denticeps clupeoides (denticle herring)
Lineage: Eukaryota; Metazoa; Chordata; Actinopteri; Clupeiformes; Denticipitidae
Source: Ensembl
UGGAAUGAAUGCAAAGACGGCAUUCAAUGUCCCGUUAUGGAAAUCUGCUGACAUACAGGAGCUCACACUGGCUGAUCUCAACUACAACACAACGUCCAGAGCCAGGGACCAAAGAGGGAAGAGUUCAGCCCUGGGUCAGCCUGUUCCUUUGGUUCCCGAUGAGAGAAACUUCUACCAGAACCCUGAAGGAGAUGAGCCUCCCCCUCCAGCAUCCAGACCCAAGGCCCGGACCCGACCAAGACCUCCACCACCACCAGAAGAUGACGAAGAAGCUCCUCCACUGCCUCAACCCAGGAAAAAGGCCCCCCGAACACCAAGGAGCUAGGACCCUGCGCACCCCUGUGUCUUCCCAGAACUCAGGUCAAACAUCUGUUUUCUUGCGCAGAAGGACUGAACAUGUGUCUUCUGCUGCACCUGCUGCCUGUUCAGAAAACUGGAUCACAGUCAAGAAAACGGUCCCUGAGUGCAUUUGGGAAGACACACAUAUUUAUCACAAACACGCGCGGAGCUUGUACGUGAUUAGAAGUCCCCGCAAGAAUGUUGUUGGGACAAUUUUUUGCUACUAAACACAGAAGAACAUUUGUGAUGCAUUUGUGUGUGAACCUUGGUGGUCCUCUAACGCUUGAAAAUUUGUGCUGUUUUUUUAACUAAUAUUUUGAAACUGGAGUGUGCCUUAAAUUGUUUUUUUGGGAAAUGUAAUAUAAUUUUCAAAAAGGUUUUGCGUUUUAUUUUUUGUUUUAUUGCAGUAUUUUUGAGAGGAAGGGGGGUUAGUUCUGAUUUUGCUGACUCCAGCUACAUCCAUCCAAAUAUUGCUGGAGUGAUAAUUUAUUAAACUGUUUGGUGUAACACGUGUACAAGAGAGAUUUGCAACCUUGUUGGACAUUUUUAUAUUAUUUUUGUAUUCGGUUUGGUAAACAGAAUGCACCUAACAAGAAGUCUAGAUGUGUGUUUAUUUCCUCUCAGUACGAAUGUGGUGACAUUUCAUAUAAUGACAUUGACAUGCAUUUCUACAGAGAUCGGGUCGGGCUCGCUGUUCAUCUGUGAAUACUCAGUUUCAGGUAAAAAAAGGAAGUCGAGGGCUUUUUCUUUUGACGGCUGCGACACACUUUGUAAUGCAAAAGCAUCAUCAGUUUUGUUCCAUUUCCCACCUCACAACCACGAUCUAAUCUCUUUCUCUCUUUUUUCUUUUUGCUCUCUCCUCGUAUAGCUCACACACUGCCAGUGGAAUGUGGUUUUAAGAGCAGCUUAACCCACCCUGUCAACACUUCUAGUCUUUUCCUGUGUAAGAAUGAGGAAACGUAGGUGUGUGUGUGUGGUAUACACACUUUGCAGUUCUGCACAAUGCUACAUCUUGUAAGCAUUGUUUUGAGAAACCACUGUGACAAAAAGAAGGAGGAUGUUCAAACGCUCUUGUGUGCUUUUGUGUUGCCAGAUCAUGUACAAAUUGUUCAACUUAUUGUUCAGCUAAGGAACUGGACCUGUAAUCAGAAGGUUGUCGGUUCAAAUAAAAAAGCAUUCGGGAUUUGAACCCACAACCUUCCGAUUACCAUCCGCUUGCUUACCCUCAAGGCCAACCGCUGUUCGAUCUGAAGCAGUGUUCUUCCAUGAUAACAUUUAAACAAUAAAAUAGAUCAUCAAGCGUGCAGACUGUGCACAAGACAAAACAACUGAAAAGGAAAAAAAACAUCCAGUUGCACAUUCUGUAAAUUUAGAUGUAAUACAGACAUAUGUAUACAGACAUAUGGUAGUAGCCUAGUGGGUAACACACUCGCCUGUGAACCAGAAGACCCGGGUUCAAAUCCCACUUACUACCAUUGUGUCCCUGAGCAAGACACUUAACCCUAAGUUGCUCCAGGGGGACUGUCCCUGUAACUACUGACUGUAAGUCGCUCUGGACAAGGGCGUCUGAUAAAUGCUGUAAAUGUAAAUGUAAAUGUAAAUGUAUGUCGGUUUGGUGAGCAAGGUGGGGUACCUGCUUAAAAGGGUGGGAGAUCCUUUCUGUGGCCAGGUCUGUGAAUCGUAAGAAUCUGUGCAUGCAUGAGUAUUUAUAUGCGUCGUUACCUAACAUGUAGUAAGUAGCACACUUUGCCAUUUGCUCAUGGCUGCCAACUACUCACUAAGGGUGAUGGGUUAAAUGCAGACGGCACAUGCCGUUGUGUGCACCGCGUGCCGUGUUUUGGACUGGACUGAGAUCCGGAGGAUUCAGAACUUGUUGGGUUUCUUCAACUCGUUCUUGAGUGCAGCAGGACACGUUGAGGCCACUGCAAUCAUACUGGAGGAGCAGGUCGGUGAAAAGUGAAUGCAGGAUCCAAGGUUGUCCAAAGCAACACACUGCCACUGCCAGCUUGCAUUCUACCCAUAGUGCAUCCUUGUGCCACAUCUCAUAUAACAGACAUGAAAAAUGUCUAUUUCUCUGUUACCAGUUUACCACCCUAGGACCUCUUCCGUUUGUAAUACAGACCAGAAAGGGCCAUAGUUUUGGUGAUGCUUGUCAAAAUCAUUCAAAUUCUUACAGUUCACCAUUUCUUCUUCAAAUUCUCUUCAGAGACCAAAUGUGCACUUGCUGCAUAAUGAAUUCAGAGUGCC